GAGAGAAAGAAGUGGAGUAUUUUUUUAAGGGGCUCUUGUGGCUGGGGAAGUUCCAGUCAGUCCAAAUUAGAUGAGUUUCUAGGUGUCUGCCUGGGUAUCCACCAGGAAAAUGCUGUUUCUGCCUUUAGACCCUUCCCUUCCAUCCAUCUCUGCACUCCUGGUGGUCUGUCCUCACCCACUCUCUGUGAUUUUCCUUCUCCCAGGCCUCCUCUUCCCAAGAUUCCUGAUCCUUUCUCUGCACUACUUUGCUCACCACUCCCUCCCUGCCACCCCCAGGAGGGAAACUCCUCUGCUCUGAAAGCAGGAACUGGCACUGGAGGCAAGCAGCACUGAGCAACCCAAGGGAUGUGGGAGAGGGCCAGCUGGAGGCUGCCAUGGCAACAGCUGGAUCUCCUUCAUCCCUCUCACCCUGCUUCCCUGCUGAUUACACUGAAACAACAGAAAAAAUAACAGUUGCUGGGAAUCAAAGAACCCUCUUCCUCCACGAAAUCACCUGGCCUCUUUCCACGCUUCCCAAAGCAAAUCUCUGGCAUCCUUGCUGCUGGUACAACAAUCUUGUGACUCUUCCUUGUACAUGGCAAGCAAAAAAGGGUUUGGUUUGCUUGCCCUUGAUGGGAAGACCUUUCUGUGCGCUUCUCCUGUGAUCUUUGAGCUCAGUGACAGAGCUGGGGCCAAAAAAAUAUCUCUGGAGGUGACUAUGACUCUUUGGGGGCUGUUCCAUGAGAAGAAUCCCCUGGGAGGAUCCAGGGUUUGGACCCAGAAGAGGUUUUGGUGGUGCUGCUUCUCCUGUGACAGCUCAGAGGAGAAGCAAGCCCAGCUCUUUGUCACAGGUCAUCAAUUCUCAGAACCUUACCUGUGCCCACAGACAUGUUCAAAUCUACCUGGUAUCACCCAGCACAGAUGA
Molecule: long non-coding RNA, 904 nt
Filed under: Ficedula albicollis (Collared flycatcher)
Lineage: Eukaryota; Metazoa; Chordata; Aves; Passeriformes; Muscicapidae
Description: lncRNA (ENSFALG00000028759.1)
Source: RNAcentral